ACGCUUAACACAUGCAAGUCGAACGCACCUUCGGGUGAGUGGCAGACGAGCGAGUAACGCGUACCCAACCUGCCCUUGAGUGGGGAACAACCAUGGAGACAUGGCUAAUUCCCCAUACGUCCCACAAAAUGAGAAUAUGUGGGAGAAAGAUUUAUCGCUCAAGGAGGGGGGUGCGUCCUAUCAGGUUGUUGGUGAGGUAACGGCUCACCAAGCCUAUGACGGGUAGCCGGUCUGAGAUGAUGUCC
RNAcentral lists this ribosomal RNA (245 nucleotides) under uncultured bacterium. RNAcentral describes it as "partial 16S ribosomal RNA". It matches the Rfam family "Bacterial small subunit ribosomal RNA", at positions 45 to 305 of the family's 1533-position model. The record is from RNAcentral.